This 467-nucleotide ribosomal RNA is filed under the name uncultured bacterium. Its description in RNAcentral is "bacterial SSU rRNA". It matches the Rfam family "Bacterial small subunit ribosomal RNA", at positions 355 to 825 of the family's 1533-position model. The record is from RNAcentral.
UUUCGAAUCAUCCACAAUGGGCGAAAGCCUGAUGGUGCGACGCCGCGUGAGGGAUGAAGGUCCUCGGAUUGUAAACCUCUGUCACCAGGGAGCAAAAACUAGACUCAUACUCUAGCUUGAGUUAACCUGGAGAGGAAGUAGUGGCAAACUCCGUGCCAGCAGCCGCGGUAAUACGGAGACUACGAGCGUUACUCGGAUUUACUGGGCGUAAAGGGUGCGUAGGCGGUCAGAUGUGUUAGGUGUGAAAGCCUGGGGCUUAACUCCAGAAUUGCGCCUAAAACUAUCUGACUCGAGCCUCGGAGAGGCAAGCGGAAUUCCUAGUGUAGCAGUGAAAUGCGUAGAUAUUGGAAGGAACACCAGUGGCGAAGGCGGCUUCCUGGUCCAACACUGACGCUGAGGCGCGAAAGCGUGGGGAGCAAACAGGAUUAGAUACCCAAGUAGUCCCUGAGCGGGCUGGCAAGGCGCAU